This is a long non-coding RNA of Harpegnathos saltator (Jerdon's jumping ant), 729 nucleotides long. RefSeq lists it as uncharacterized. The record is from RefSeq and is a predicted model, not a curated record. The transcript is spliced from 3 exons. NCBI's taxonomy places the organism in Eukaryota, Metazoa, Arthropoda, Insecta, Hymenoptera, Formicidae.
UCUCAGUGCGGAAAUUCGGUGUCGUCGAAAACACCAUGUUGGCCGCUCUCAAGUUCCUCUCUGCUAGCAGUGAAUAUCGAAACGCAAUCUGCAAAGACCGUUAAUCAUAUAAGAUGAGGUCGUUGAUUGGCUACUGCGAUAUUUCCUAAUCAACUUUCGUCGCACAGUAAACCUGUAGUCCCUGUAUGGAAUUAAGAUAAAAAUUUCUCGCUUGUAAAUUUCUAAUCACUUAUAGUCGCAUAUGAGUUAAAACGAGAAACGUACGUUCGUAUCUUGUACUGUUGAUUUACUUUUGUCGUUUAGCAGCAAGCGAACUUUAUGGUACACAAAGUCAUUUUAUUUACUAAGCUGUAUCUUCUAAGAUAAUACAUAACCAAUAAGGUUUUGUCUAACAUAGUGUUCCUUGUUAGAAAACGGCCUCAUUCUAAUUACAGGUAAAUUUGUACAUAUAAGAAUGUCAGCACAGUUGGUGACGUCAUCUGUAUUUAAGAUUCCAAUGAAUCACCUCCUAUCGAUGUCCUUGUAUAUGUUCGAAAAACAUUUUAUGUAUGUCUCUCGUUGAGAUGAACUCUUUCACUUCGGCAGUCCAGUCCGCCGAAAUGCCGUUAUUGAACGGAAACACGCACCAGAAAUGUGCACAGUGCGUAGUUUUUGUAUAUACGUUUUUCUAAGUUUUAAAUAACAAUUGUGCUCUAAUAAAACAAUCGUUGCUCUAAUAUAACAAGUAUA